AGAGUUUGAUCCUGGCUCAGAACGAACGCCCGCGGCGUGUUUAAGACAUGCAAGUCGCACGGGACUAUUUGAGCAGCAAUACAAGGAUAGUUUAGUGGCGCACGGGUGAGUAACACGUGAAUUACAUGCCCUGCAGAGGGGGAUAGCCCAGGGAAACUUGGAUUAAUACCCCAUGGUAUCGCGAGAUUAAAGGUGGCCGCAAGGCUGUCGCUGCAGGAUUGGUUCGCGCCCUAUCAGCUUGUUGGUGAGGUAACGGCUCACCAAGGCUACGACGGGUACCUGGUCUGAGAGGACGAUCAGGCACACUGGAACUGAGACACGGUCCAGACACCUACGGGUGGCAGCAGUCGAGAAUAAUUCACAAUGGGGGCAACCCUGAUGGUGCAACGCCGCGUGGAGGAUGAAGGUCUUCGGAUUGUAAACUCCUGUCAUCCGGGAGUAAGACCUGGCGAUGAAUAGUCGACAGGGUUGAUAGUACCGGAAGAGGAAGGGACGGCUAACUUCGUGCCAGCAGCCGCGGUAAUACGAAGGUCCCGAGCGUUGUUCGGAAUCACUGGGCGUAAAGGGAGCGUAGGCGGCGUGGUAAGUCAGAUGUGAAAUCCCGGGGCUCAACCCCGGAACUGCAUCCGAUACUGCCGUGCUAGAGGAUUGGAGAGGUAGCUGGAAUUCACGGUGUAGCAGUGAAAUGCGUAGAUAUCGUGAGGAACACUCGUGGCGAAAGCGAGCUACUGGACAACUCCUGACGCUGAGGCUCGAAGGCCAGGGUAGCGAAAGGGAUUAGAUACCCCUGUAGUCCUGGC
This 800-nucleotide ribosomal RNA is filed under the name uncultured bacterium. RNAcentral's name for it is "bacterial SSU rRNA". It matches the Rfam family "Bacterial small subunit ribosomal RNA", at positions 8 to 800 of the family's 1533-position model. The record is from RNAcentral.